Molecule: long non-coding RNA, 353 nt
Organism: Hermetia illucens (black soldier fly)
Lineage: Eukaryota; Metazoa; Arthropoda; Insecta; Diptera; Stratiomyidae
Exons: 3
Source: RefSeq, a predicted model, not a curated record
GGACAAUCUUAAUGCUGCUGAUGCUUUACUACCUUCUUCGGCUAUGAGUAGGGUAGUGCACAGAUGACAGAAAUUCUGAGUCUAACAUGUAUAGAUGAACGAUGGAGCAUUUGAGUGUUAAAUUGAAAGAUAUAAAAGCCGAUUGAGCAACUGCACAAAAAAAAAGAUGCCAGGAGAGCGGAAGCUGAACGCUUCAGGUAAAGAUUGGAGUCGCUACACGUCCCACAGUUGGUGAAUUCUAGUUACAGCGGGUUAAUGCGGGGUAACUUUAUUAUUUGAGGUUUAAAUUUUCCAAAAAAAAUUCUCAAAAGCUGUUCAAAAUAUAACUAAUAUAAUCCCCAAAUUUAAUUGAA